RNAcentral lists this ribosomal RNA (1165 nucleotides) under Nosema sp. ISL-2002-2. Its description in RNAcentral is "bacterial SSU rRNA". It matches the Rfam family "Microsporidia small subunit ribosomal RNA". Lineage: Eukaryota; Fungi; Microsporidia; Nosematidae. The record is from RNAcentral.
GUAGACGCUAUACUCUAAGAUUAACCCAUGCAUGUUUAUUGAAUAUAAAGGAAAGACGAACAGCUCAGUAACUCUUAUUUGAUUUGAUGUAUUAGGAUUCUAACUAUGUUAAAUUAUAGAUAACAAUAAUACAAUAAGAAUAAGAUCUAUCAGUUAGUUGUUAAGGUAAUGGCUUAACAAGACUAUGACGGAUAACGGUAUUACUUUGUAAUAUUCCGGAGAAGGAGCCUGAGAGAUUGCUACUAAGUCUAAGGAUUGCAGCAGGGGCGAAACUUGACCUAUGAUAUUAUAUUGAGGUAGUUAUGAGUAGUAUUUUAUAAUUAUUGUAGUAUUGUAAGUACAUAUUACAAGAUAAAUCGGAGGGCAAAUCGAGUGCCAGCAGCCGUGGUAAUACUUGUUCCGAUAGUGUGUAUGAUGAUUGAUGCAGUUAAAAAGUCUGUAGUUUAUUUUAUAAUAAGCAUUGUAAGGUAUACUGUAUGGUUAGGAGAGAGAUGAAAUGUGAUAACCCUAACUGGAUGAACAGAAGCGAAAGCUGUAUACUUAAAUGUAUUAUUAGAACAAGGACGUAAGCUAGAGGAUCGAAGAUGAUUAGAUACCAUUGUAGUUCUAGCAGUAAACUAUGUUGAAUCAUAGAUAUAUUUUGAUAUAUAUUUAUGUAGAGAAAUUAAGAUUAUAUUGACUCUGGGGAUAGUAUGAUCGCAAGAUUGAAAAUUAAAGAAAUUGACGGAAGAAUACCACAAGGAGUGGAUUGUGCGGCUUAAUUUGACUCAACGCGGGGUAAUUUACCAGGUAUAACAUGGUAUAAUAUUUUAUCAUGAUAGUGGUGCAUGGCCGUUUCCAAUGGAUGCUGUGAAGUAAUGAUUAAUUUCAACAAGAUGUGAGACCCUCAUAUAGACAGAUGUAGUGAUACAUAUGAAGGAGAGGAUUAAAACAGGUCCGUUAUGCCCUAAGAUAAUCUGGGUUGCACGCGCAAUACAAUAAUAUUUGAUAUUAUAAGGGAUAAUAUAAUGUAAGAUAUAUUUGAACAUGGAAUUGCUAGUAAAUUUUAUUUAAUAAGUAGAAUUGAAUGAGUCCCUGUUCUUUGUACACACCGCCCGUCGCUAUCUAAGAUGGUAUUAUCUAUGAACAAAUUUAUAAAGUGAAUAGAUAGUACUAGAUCUGAUAU